Molecule: long non-coding RNA, 549 nt
Organism: Apis mellifera (honey bee)
Lineage: Eukaryota; Metazoa; Arthropoda; Insecta; Hymenoptera; Apidae
Exons: 2
Source: RefSeq, a predicted model, not a curated record
GAUCGAAGAUCUGAAAAAUUGAUGGAACGUUGAAGUUGAAUAAUUUUCGGGGCGAGAAUACUCGUUUUUUUGAGGAUGAAACUCUGGAGAAUGGGAAUUGAAAUUUUGGAUUUUCGUAUUAGGAUUUUUCACCGUGAAGAGUUGCAAUUAUUUUUCAUCGACAGACACAGGCACAGAGAUAAUGGUUUGUCAAAUUAUUUGAUUGGUGGAAAAAUAUUCGUCUAAUCGUUUUCAAAAAAAAUCUUCACUUCAGCUUUGCUUCUUCAUGAGUUACUUCUUUAAGCUUGAAAUGCCCUGUCCAACAUUUAGAGAUGUUACAACAAGAGAAGUAAAAGUUUUUUUUCAUUUUCUUCUCGACUGUCCUUGUUAAGAAAAAUAAAUUAAAUCUGUGCAAGGCACAUAAGGUCUUCUAACUUUAUUUAAAAGUUAAAGGGCGCAUAGAACUUAAAUUGGAUAACAGGAAUUGGAUAAUAUAUAUAACUGUACGAACAGAGAAUAAACGAAAGAUGUAAAAUAAAUUCUUUACGGCUAUAAAAAAAAAAAAAAAAA